RNAcentral lists this long non-coding RNA (1779 nucleotides) under Anas platyrhynchos platyrhynchos (common mallard). Its description in RNAcentral is "lncRNA (ENSAPLG00000024487.1)". The record is from RNAcentral. Lineage: Eukaryota; Metazoa; Chordata; Aves; Anseriformes; Anatidae.
GACAUUCUCCCAUUUUGGAGACACAACAGAACUUGAUCAUCGUGACUAACCAGUAGUUUGACUGUCUUAAAAGUUUACUUCAAACUGUAUGCCUAAACUUCAAUUCAGAGCCUCUUAAACGCUACUUGAAAUUACUUAGGCAUAUAAGGAGGAAUUUGCAAAAAGCAACCUACAAAAAGUGAAACCAGCCUUCUGGUUUCUUACAGAAAAUUUUAAACAGGGAAGGUUACUUAACUUUUUUUCCCCUUUUUUCCUUAACUUCUGAUUUAAUUGAAGCAAGGCACUUCCCUCCAUGUCUAACCCCUCAACCCAGCCACAGUAUUAUGUUCCCAACCAGUUCUUCAUUUCAAAUGACAAAUAGCUUAUCUGCUCACUUUGAUACGUAAAGCAUCUUAGUUGUUAUUGCUUCAGGAAAAUCUUUUUUUACAGGAAAGUACCCUAAACACUCAUUUAUGAGUGUUCCAAUGCAACCCUCUACAACCCACUGAAGCUGUCACACAGUGAACGAUGAACUUAAUAGCUGCAAAAAAAGAACAAAUUAAUACUACUCAACAGUCUAGCAGUUAGCUUCUCUUUCUUGGAUAGGAAAAUCUUUUGCAAUGAAUAUUUUGCUCUUUCAUAGUAAAUAUUCAUUUUUUUAUUAUUUUUUUUUUUAAUGCAAGUAUUGCUAUCCUUCUACAAAUAAGGAAACAGAAAGGCAAAGUGAUUAACAGCUUGCUCUAGUUCCAAGGCUUAGAUCCAGAUGGCUGAAGCAGCUUUGUCCACUCUCUGAGCUGGCAGAAGCUGAACUAUUUUGAUUCAAACAUAAUUUACACACAUUAGCUUAAAGCACCCCAGCAGUUAAGUUGCCUAUCAGCUUUUCAGAAGAUGAGAGUCAUCAUUCAUUUUCUUAACCUCUCUCAUAAUUCUUGUUAGCUUUUUGUUCUUAGAAUUUAAAAUCUUUGGUUUCUAACGCUCUACGUGCAAUAUGUACACAGCACAGGCUGACAUCUAAAGCUUUCGAGUAUCUGUUCUGUUAUCAGUUAAUUUGAAAAUUUUCUCUGCGUGGAAGUAUCAGAUACAUUUGCACAAUGAGAGUUUAGCCAGUGUCCUGUUCCCUGAAAUCUCUAUUGAGAGCUCUUUGUUCCAGACUUCACCUUCAUUCUCCCCUCUACUCUGCUCUUGUGAGACCCCACCUGGAGUACUGAGUUCAGCUCUGGGGCAUGAGAAAGACACAAAUCUUUUAAAAUGGGUCAGGAGGAUGGCCACAAAAAUGAUCAGGGAGCUGGAGCACUUCUCUGAAGACAGGCUGAGGCUGAGAAAGUUGAUCAGUCUAGAGAGCGAAAGACCUUAUACUGACUUUUCAGCACUUAAAGGGGGCCUACAGGAAAAAUGGGGAGAGACUUUUUAUCAGGGAGUGUAGCAACAGGACAAGGGGUAAUGGUUUUAAACUAAAACAAGGUAGGCUUAGAUUAGAUAUUAGGAAGAAAUUAUUUGUGAUGAGGGUGGUGAGGCAUUGGAACAGGUUGUCCAGAGAAGCUGUGGAUGCCCCAUCCCAGCAACCCAGUCUAGUGAGAGGUGUCCCUGCCCAUGGUAGGGGUGUUGGAACAAGAUGAUCGAUUGUUAAGGGUCCUUUUCAACCCAAACCAUUCUAUGGUUCUAUGAUUACACGAUCUUUGGGGUACCUUCCAACCCAAAUCAUUCUAUGUUUCCAUGAUUUUGUGAUUUAUACCUAGAAGUAAGAAACCCAGAAAUAAUUUCCAUAAAUAAAUGAUACGUUACUAUUUUUACCUGGUAACA